GAUGAACGCUGACAGAAUGCUUAACACAUGCAAGUCAACUUGAAUUUGGGUUUUUAACUUAGGUUUGGGUGGCGGACGGGUGAGUAACGCGUAAAGAACUUGCCUCACAGCUAGGGACAACAUUUGGAAACAAAUGCUAAUACCUAAUAUUAUGAUAAUAGGGCAUCCUAUAAUUAUGAAAGCUAUAAGCGCUGUGAGAGAGCUUUGCGUCCCAUUAGCUAGUUGGAGAGGUAACGGCUCACCAAGGCGAUGAUGGGUAGCCGGCCUGAGAGGGUGAUCGGCCACAAGGGGACUGAGACACGGCCCUUACUCCUACGGGAGGCGGCAGUGGGGAAUAUUGGACAAUGGACCAAGAGUCUGAUCCAGCAAUUCUGUGUGCACGAUGAAGUUUUUCGGAAUGUAAAGUGCUUUCAGUUGGGAAGAAAGAAAUGACGGUACCAACAGAAGAAGUGACGGCUAAAUACGUG
Molecule: ribosomal RNA, 467 nt
Filed under: uncultured bacterium
Lineage: Bacteria
Description: partial 16S ribosomal RNA
Rfam family: Bacterial small subunit ribosomal RNA
Source: RNAcentral